GAAGAUGUAGCUCAGUGGUAGAGCACUUGCCUAGUAUGCACAAAGCUCUGGGUUUGAUCCCCAGGUCUGCC
RNAcentral lists this transfer RNA (71 nucleotides) under Heterocephalus glaber (naked mole-rat). It matches the Rfam family "tRNA". From Rfam's summary of the family: Transfer RNA (tRNA) molecules are approximately 80 nucleotides in length. Lineage: Eukaryota; Metazoa; Chordata; Mammalia; Rodentia; Bathyergidae. The record is from Rfam by way of RNAcentral.